Molecule: small RNA, 316 nt
Filed under: Histoplasma ohiense
Lineage: Eukaryota; Fungi; Ascomycota; Eurotiomycetes; Onygenales; Ajellomycetaceae
Description: hypothetical lncRNA
Source: RNAcentral
AUCGCUGCCAAUCUAUUGCUGCUAAUCUAUCGCUGCCAACCUAUCUACCGCGGCGAAUCUAUCUAUCACUGCCAAUUUAUCUACCACUGCCAAUCUAUCUAUUGCUGCUAAGCUAUCUAUCGCUACCAAUUUAUCUACCACUGCCAAUCUAUCUAUCGCUGCUAAUCUAUAUAGGGUAAAUCAUGGUCCUGUUAAUUUAUAAAUAUAACAUGAUCUAGGACUAGAAUUAUAAUAUAAAUCAUGUAAAGUGACUGAUUUCAUAAACACUAUAUGGGACCAGGACUAAGAUAUUUGAGAAUGGGACUGAGGAAAAGUC